UUCCACAUCCGUAAUCCAUGAUUCUGCUUCUGCUGGGUCUGUACUACCCAUGAAUUCUUUGGCUCCAAGUUCCUUAACUCUCUUAAUUUCUGAAUUUUCCGUACCACGCCUUCCCCGUAAGGCUGUAGCCAUUAUGCGAGUAAACUGGCUGAGCACAUGCCUCAUAUCCAAAGCAUUAUCUCCAGCAGGUGGAGAUGGUGGAGGUGAAGGUAGUGGUGGUGAAGGAGGGGGUGAUGGAGAUGGAGGUGGAGGAUUCGGCCCCCAUCUUUGCCUGC
RNAcentral lists this long non-coding RNA (275 nucleotides) under Prunus persica (peach). RNAcentral describes it as "long non-coding RNA (PPER_LNC004065)". The record is from RNAcentral. Lineage: Eukaryota; Viridiplantae; Streptophyta; Magnoliopsida; Rosales; Rosaceae.